AGCGAACGCUGGCGGCAGGCUUAACACAUGCAAGUCGAGCAGACCUUUCGGGGUCAGCGGCGGACGGGUGAGUAACGCGUGGGAACGUGCCUUCCGGUUCGGAAUAACCCUGGGAAACUAGGGCUAAUACCGGAUACGCCCUUAUGGGGAAAGGUUUACUGCCGGAAGAUCGGCCCGCGUCUGAUUAGCUAGUUGGUGGGGUAACGGCCUACCAAGGCGACGAUCAGUAGCUGGUCUGAGAGGAUGAUCAGCCACACUGGGACUGAGACACGGCCCAGACUCCUACGGGAGGCAGCAGUGGGGAAUAUUGGACAAUGGGCGCAAGCCUGAUCCAGCCAUGCCGCGUGAGUGAUGAAGGCCUUAGGGUUGUAAAGCUCUUUUAUCCGGGACGAUAAUGACGGUACCGGAGGAAUAAGCCCCGGCUAACUUCGUG
This 433-nucleotide ribosomal RNA is filed under the name uncultured bacterium. RNAcentral describes it as "partial 16S ribosomal RNA". It matches the Rfam family "Bacterial small subunit ribosomal RNA", at positions 29 to 507 of the family's 1533-position model. The record is from RNAcentral.